AACGAACGCUGGCGGCAGGCUUAACACAUGCAAGUCGAACGCCCCGCAAGGGGAGUGGCAGACGGGUGAGUAACACGUGGGAACAUGCCCAAAGGUACGGAAUAUUCUCGGGAAACUGGGAGCAAUACCGUAUGUGCCCGAAAGGGGAAAGAUUUAUCGCCUUUGGAUUGGCCCGCGUCAGAUUAGGUAGUUGGUGGGGUAAUGGCCUACCAAGCCGGCGAUCUGUAGCUGGUCUGAGAGGACGACCAGCCACACUGGGACUGAGACACGGCCCAGACUCCUACGGGAGGCAGCAGUGGGGAAUCUUGGACAAUGGGCGCAAGCCUGAUCCAGCCAUGCCGCGUGGAUGAUGAAGGCCCUAGGGUUGUAAAAUCCUUUCGUUGGGGACGAUAAUGACGGUACCCAAAGAAGAAGCUCCGGCUAACUUCGUGCCAGCAGCCGCGGUAA
This 447-nucleotide ribosomal RNA is filed under the name uncultured bacterium. Its description in RNAcentral is "partial 16S ribosomal RNA". It matches the Rfam family "Bacterial small subunit ribosomal RNA", at positions 29 to 523 of the family's 1533-position model. The record is from RNAcentral.